RNAcentral lists this ribosomal RNA (253 nucleotides) under uncultured bacterium. Its description in RNAcentral is "partial 16S ribosomal RNA". It matches the Rfam family "Bacterial small subunit ribosomal RNA", at positions 524 to 776 of the family's 1533-position model. The record is from RNAcentral.
UACGGAGGGUGCGAGCGUUGUCCGGAAUCAUUGGGCGUAAAGAGCGUGUAGGCGGCCCGAUAAGUCCGCUGUGAAAGUCCAGGGCUCAACCCUGGAAUGCCGGUGGAUACUGUCGGGCUCGAAUCCGGAAGAGGUGAGUGGAAUUCCUGGUGUAGCGGUGAAAUGCGCAGAUAUCAGGAGGAACACCAAUGGCGAAGGCAGCUCACUGGGACGGUAUUGGCGCUGAGACGCGAAAGCGUGGGGAGCAAACAGG